CCUACGGGAGGCUGCAGUGGGGAAUAUUGGACAAUGGGGGCAACCCUGAUCCAGCCAUGCCGCGUGUGUGAAGAAGGCCCUCGGGUUGUAAAGCACUUUCAGUGAGGAAGAACGCCUGGUGGUUAAUACCCAUCAGGAAAGACAGCACUCACAGAAGAAGCACCGGCUAACUCCGUGCCAGCAGCCGCGGUAAUACGGAGGGUGCGAGCGUUAAUCGGAAUUACUGGGCGUAAAGCGCGCGUAGGUGGCUUGAUAAGCCGGUUAUGAAAGCCCCGGGCUCAACCUGGGAACGGCAUCCGGAACUGUCAAGCUAGAGUGCAGGAGAGGAAGGUAGAAUUCCCGGUGUAGCGGUGAAAUGCGUAGAGAUCGGGAGGAAUACCAGUGGCGAAGGCGGCCUUCUGGACUGACACUGACACUGAGGUGCGAAAGCGUGGGUAGCAAACAGGAUUAGAUACCCUAGUAGUC
Molecule: ribosomal RNA, 465 nt
Filed under: Vreelandella stevensii
Lineage: Bacteria; Pseudomonadati; Pseudomonadota; Gammaproteobacteria; Oceanospirillales; Halomonadaceae
Description: partial 16S ribosomal RNA
Rfam family: Bacterial small subunit ribosomal RNA
Source: RNAcentral